UGCCAGUAGUCAUAUGCUUGUCUCAAAGACUAAGCCAUGCAUGUCUAAGUAUAAAUGUUAUACAGUGAAACUGCGAAUGGCUCAUUAAAACAGUUAUAGUUUAUUUGAUAAUCGAAUUUACAUGGAUAACCGUGGUAAUUCUAGAGCUAAUACAUGCUGGUUAGCCUGACUUCGAGGAAGGGCUGUAUUUAUUAGAUAACAAACCAAUAUUCCCCGUGUCUAUUGUGAUGACUCAUAAUAACUGAUCGAAUCGCAUGGACUUUGUCCGCGAUACAUCAUUCAAGUUUCUGCCCCAUCAGCUUUCGAUGGUAGUGUAUUGGACUACCAUGGCUUUAGCGGGUAACGGAGGAUUAGGGUUCGAUUCCGGAGAGGGAGCCUGAGAAACGGCUACCACAUCUAAGGAAGGCAGCAGGCGCGUAAAUUACCCAAUCCUGACUCAGGGAGGUAGUGACAAGAAAUAACGGACCGAGGCAUCUGCUUCGGGAUUGCAAUGAGUAGAAUUUAAACCCCUUUACGAGGAUCAAUUGGAGGGCAAGUCUGGU
This 542-nucleotide ribosomal RNA is filed under the name uncultured Oligotrichia. RNAcentral's name for it is "SSU rRNA". It matches the Rfam family "Eukaryotic small subunit ribosomal RNA", at positions 15 to 565 of the family's 1831-position model. Lineage: Eukaryota; Ciliophora; Spirotrichea. The record is from RNAcentral.